UUUUACAGUGCCUUCAUUAGGGAGACAAAUAAACCCUGAAAUGAGAACUGGAAGCCUUUGCCUCUCCUUUUGAAGAACUGUUUAUCUAUCUGCCAAACUGGGCAUCAACGUACAGGGAGGGCAGAAUAGUAAAAAAGCAUCAUUCUCAUCAGCCAGAUAGUUCUCUAAAAGCAAGGAUGGAUGAGACGCUGGAAACAAGGUCAAAAGUGUCCAGUUCUUUACGUUCCAGCCAGCUUACAUCGUCAUCUACUGCUGCCGCCAGAGCACGAGCAAAAGCAGAAGCUGCCCGUGCUCAGCUCUCCUUUGCCAAGCAGGAAGCCAGCAUCCUAAAACAACAGGCCGAGCAGCUUAAAAAGAAAGCAGAUCUGGAUGCAGAGCUACACAUACUCAAAUCACAGAAAGCAGCUGCAGCAGCACUAGCUGAGGCUCAAGCUUGGGAAGCGUCUGCGCAAGAGAGUGAGCAUCCACAACAGCCCCAGCUGGAUGACAUGCAGCAAUUCAGCCCAAUAGAACGAGUCCAAGAGUAUGUGCAGCAACAAUCAGAACUCGGCAACGAUCUGCAGACUCCACAAGUUAAUCAUCCAGAACUCCUAUCUUCUCUGGUGCAACAGCCAGCCACGGCCAUCGAUGCAACACCAAAGGCUCACAAAGAACCAAGUAUCCAUCAGCCCAGUAGGAGCAAAAACCGAGAAUUCACACCUUUGCCAGUCUUCCAUGCUUUGAGCCCAAAGAGAGAAUCUUGCAACUGGAGCUAUGGAGGCGAGCCAACAAACAAUGAUCGAUUUCACCAUCCUCAGUCUAAGCAGAGUUCAAUAGCAAGCUGCAUUCCUCCUCCCCACAUCUCAGCCUGUGUGCACAGAAAAGCCUUUCAUACCCUGUCACAUCACUCUGACAACAGUAUAAAAUGCAUGGAACAUCUAAGUACAGCCCAGCAGUCCUACACAGUGUUGGUUCAGCCCCAACAAUAAUCCACCUCAGAUCCUCCUAAUUCUGUUAAAACAACAGAUCAGGGCAGCCACGUCUGACGGGAAGAUUUCAGAAGCUUAUCUUCCACCUUUCCAGCAAUAGAAAAAAUAUAUUCUUCUCUAUACGGGAUUGUUUGAUUAUGUAUGUCUGUUUGUGAACACUUGUGUAUGGUGUCUGAAAGUACUGCAUACAUUCUGUUCAGUUUACAUGCUUUUCUGUGGGAGUUUCUUUAAGGAAUACUCUGUUUAGUCAGUACUCAGCUGCAGCUGACUCAUACAUAUCUUUUGUUUUCUUUGUCAGGCAAAUAAUGUGACUGUGACAUCAGACUUAGAUACUGUCAAAGUGUAAAGUUAUAUUUCCGUAACUUUAAAAAAGAAUUGUCUGUUCACAUGUAUACUGGACACAGAGCAUGUUUGUAUUCAUUCCAUUCAUUUCUGAUUAUGUUUUUGAUUGCUUUAUCUAAAAAAACAAACUGACUGAUAUUAGUUCUUUGGUACUCUGAACUAAACACUCAAAACACGUUUGCUACAC
Molecule: long non-coding RNA, 1497 nt
Filed under: Oreochromis niloticus (Nile tilapia)
Lineage: Eukaryota; Metazoa; Chordata; Actinopteri; Cichliformes; Cichlidae
Description: lncRNA (ENSONIG00000033437.1)
Source: RNAcentral